RNAcentral lists this small RNA (29 nucleotides) under Bombyx mori (domestic silkworm). RNAcentral describes it as "ovarian small RNA-6148". The record is from RNAcentral. Lineage: Eukaryota; Metazoa; Arthropoda; Insecta; Lepidoptera; Bombycidae.
UACGUUUUACAAUCAACUUAAAUCGACGC